UCUUUUAGACCUCGCGCGGUUGGAUGGACCGAUGUUCGAUUAGCUAGUUGGUGAGGUAAUGGCUCACCAAGGCGACGAUCGAUAGCUGGUCUGAGAGGAUGAUCAGCCACACUGGGACUGAGACACGGCCCAGACUCCUACGGGAGGCAGCAGUGGGGAAUAUUGGACAAUGGGCGCAAGCCUGAUCCAGCAAUGCCGCGUGUGUGAAGAAGGCCUUCGGGUUGUAAAGCACUUUUAUCAGGAGCGAAAUACUACCGGCUAAUAUCCGGUGGGGCUGACGGUACCUGAGGAAUAAGCACCGGCUAACUUCGUGCCAGCAGCCGCGGUAAUACGAAGGGUGCAAGCGUUAAUCGGAAUUACUGGGCGUAAAGCGUGCGUAGGCGGUUAUUUAAGUCUGCUGUGAAAUCCCCGGGCUCAACCUGGGAAUGGCAGUGGAUACUGGAUAGCUAGAGUGUGAUAGAGGAUGGUGGAAUUCCCGGUGUAGCGGUGAAAUGCGUAGAGAUCGGGAGGAACAUCAGUGGCGAAGGCGGCCAUCUGGAUCAACACUGACG
Molecule: ribosomal RNA, 551 nt
Filed under: Dyella sp.
Lineage: Bacteria; Pseudomonadati; Pseudomonadota; Gammaproteobacteria; Lysobacterales; Rhodanobacteraceae
Description: bacterial SSU rRNA
Rfam family: Bacterial small subunit ribosomal RNA
Source: RNAcentral